RNAcentral lists this ribosomal RNA (301 nucleotides) under uncultured bacterium. RNAcentral describes it as "partial 16S ribosomal RNA". It matches the Rfam family "Bacterial small subunit ribosomal RNA", at positions 509 to 807 of the family's 1533-position model. The record is from RNAcentral.
CAGUCGCCACGGUAAUACGAAGGGGGCUAGCGUUGUUCGGAUUAACUGGGCGUAAAGGGCGCGUAGGCGGGUUUUUAAGUCAGAGGUGAAAUCCCAAGGCUCAACCUUGGAACUGCCUUUGAUACUGGAAAUCUUGAGUCCGGGAGAGGUGAGUGGAACUGCGAGUGUAGAGGUGAAAUUCGUAGAUAUUCGCAAGAACACCAGUGGCGAAGGCGGCUCACUGGCCCGGUACUGACGCUGAGGCGCGAAAGCGUGGGGAGCAAACAGGAUUAGAGACCCCCGUAGUCCCUGUCUCUUAUAC